Gallus gallus (chicken) is the source of this 1055-nucleotide long non-coding RNA. RefSeq lists it as uncharacterized. The record is from RefSeq and is a predicted model, not a curated record. The transcript has 2 exons. Lineage: Eukaryota; Metazoa; Chordata; Aves; Galliformes; Phasianidae.
CAAAAUGAUUUGCGCUGUUAACUCAAGGCCUCUCAAAUAUAUUUCUUCAGACAACAGAUAUCACUAAGAAAUGUCAUGGAUUAAAAUCUUCAUUUGAUCAGUGUGGAGACAACACAGGAGAAAAGAAUACAGAUUGGAAAGUCAAGGAAAAGAUCAAAUUGGAUACACAGUGGUUUCAGAAAACCAACACUCUUCCAAAAUGGACACAAAUACUUAACUUCCAAUUAACACCAACCAAAUUAUCGUGCAAGAUUCACUAGAAGGGGGCAUGUCUCCAUUGCAGACAUCUGCAGUGAAGAUAAAGCAAAAAGAUACUGGCAGAUAAGUGAGGCACAGACAUGCAGAAAGAGACAUGCCCCAGGGGCAGCAGCAAAAACAAGAUUUUGUCUUCUUCAAUCCCCAGCUGUCCAGCCUCCGGGCACUCACCUCUCCAACCUUUGGGCACACCAAUAAAUGGAAUAUGACAGCUACAUGCUUCCUUCUCACUCCCUUCCUUUAGAGUUGUGAGCAGAAGGCAAGAAAGUUGGGCCAGAACACCAGUCACUGGGGCUGAAGCCCGGAAUUCCAUUGGGCUUUAUGAUGCCAAGGUUACUAUCUCUAUGGUUAUAUGCUUCUCAAGCUUUACCUCUGCUUUCCAGCAUGUUAAAUUUGCCCACAUUCUACAAAGCCUAUUACAAAUUACAUCCACCCAUCAGAUUAGAGAUCACGGUAAUGGAGAGCUAUUGGAAAACACAUUAUGUCUCCAGCAGGCUCCCAGGGAAGUCUGACAGCACUUUGUUCCUGGUUUCCCUACUCAUGCUCAUGAUUUUCAUACCAAGUUAAGAAGAACCAAUUACAAACUGCAAUUUGUCACCACAAACUUCACAAGAUCAUUUACAAAAAGAAGGUUGUAGGAAGCCUUGAAUUUUGAAUUUGAAGCCUAGAACCUCUGAAAUGUUAGGUUUGGACUUUAUAGGGAAGGAAAGAAAACAUUUGACAGAAGCUGUAAGACUAGAGGUAGGCAAGUAUAAAAGAAUCAGAAAAACUACAGAAUAAUAUACAUCUAAGAAUUUGAA